Molecule: ribosomal RNA, 483 nt
Filed under: uncultured bacterium
Lineage: Bacteria
Description: partial 16S ribosomal RNA
Rfam family: Bacterial small subunit ribosomal RNA
Source: RNAcentral
AUUGAACGCUGGCGGAAUGCUUUACACAUGCAAGUCGAACGGCAGCACGGGGGCAGCCCUGGUGGCGAGUGGCGAACGGGUGAGUAAUACAUCGGAACGUGCCCGGUCGUGGGGGAUAACGUAGCGAAAGUUACGCUAAUACCGCAUACGAUCUGAGGAUGAAAGCGGGGGACCUUCGGGCCUCGCGCGAUCGGAGCGGCCGAUGUCAGAUUAGGUAGUUGGUGGGGUAAAGGCCUCCCAAGCCGACGAUCGGUAGCUGGUCUGAGAGGACGACCAGCAAACCGGGGCCUAGACACCGGCCAGACCCCCACGGGAGGCCGCAGGGGGGAAUUUUGGGCCAAGGGGCGAAGCCUUAUUCAGCCCAUCCGCGGGGGGGGAGAAGGGCCUUCGGGUUGAAAACUGUUUUUGUAGGGAAGAAAAGGGCUCUGGCUAACCCCGGGGGUUUCUGCCGGUACCAAAAAAAAAGGCCCCGCCUACCUCGUG